CCCUUAGAUGUUCUGGGCCGCACGCGCGCUACACUGAUGGAUUCAACGAGUGUUGUUCUUCGGAGCAGAUCCUUGGUCGGAAGGCCUGGGCAAUCUUGUAAAUGUCCAUCGUGAUGGGGCUAGAUUUUUGCAAUUCUGAAUCUCCAACGAGGAAUUCCUAGUAAACGCAAGUCAUCAGCUUGCAUUGAUUACGUCCCUGCCCUUUGUACACACCGCCCGUCGCACCUACCGAUUGAAUGGUCCGGUGAAAUCUCGGGACGGCGGCUUGGUCGCUUGCGUCCGACUGCUGAAACUUGAUUAAACCAUAUCAUUUAGAGGAAGGUGAAGUCGUAACA
Molecule: ribosomal RNA, 335 nt
Filed under: uncultured eukaryote
Lineage: Eukaryota
Description: partial 18S ribosomal RNA
Rfam family: Eukaryotic small subunit ribosomal RNA
Source: RNAcentral